GACGGUUUGGCUGAGUGGUUUAAGGUGCUAGAUUUAGGCUCUAGUCCGAAAGUGCGUGGGUUCUCACAGCUGUCA
Molecule: transfer RNA, 75 nt
Filed under: Ipomoea nil (Japanese morning glory)
Lineage: Eukaryota; Viridiplantae; Streptophyta; Magnoliopsida; Solanales; Convolvulaceae
Rfam family: tRNA
About the family: Transfer RNA (tRNA) molecules are approximately 80 nucleotides in length. Their secondary structure includes four short double-helical elements and three loops (D, anti-codon, and T loops). Further hydrogen bonds mediate the characteristic L-shaped molecular structure. tRNAs have two regions of fundamental functional importance: the anti-codon, which is responsible for specific mRNA codon recognition, and the 3' end, to which the tRNAs corresponding amino acid is attached (by aminoacyl-tRNA synthetases). tRNAs cope with the degeneracy of the genetic code in two manners: having more than one tRNA (with a specific anti-codon) for a particular amino acid; and 'wobble' base-pairing, i.e. permitting non-standard base-pairing at the 3rd anti-codon position.
Source: Rfam by way of RNAcentral